GCCAGACUCCUACGGGAGGCAGCAGUGAGGAAUAUUGGUCAAUGGGCGGGAGCCUGAACCAGCCAAGCCGCGUGAGGGAAGAAGGUACAGCGUAUCGUAAACCUCUUUUGUCAGGGAACAAAGGCGGGGACUAGUCCCCGGAUGAGGGUACCUGAAGAAAAAGCAUCGGCUAACUCCGUGCCAGCAGCCGCGGUAAUACGGAGGAUCCGAGCGUUAUCCGGAUUCAUUGGGUUUAAAGGGUGCGUAGGUUGUUUUAUAAGUUAGCGGUGAAAUACCGAUGCUCAACAUCGGGGCUGCCGCUAUUACUGUAGGACUAGAGAUCGGAUGCAGCAGGCGGAAUGUGUAGUGUAGCGGUGAAAUGCAUAGAUAUUACACAGAACACCGAUUGCGAAGGCAGCUUGCUAGGCCGGAUCUGACACUGAUGCACGAAAGCGUGGGGAUCGAACAGGAUUAGAUACCCUCGUA
Molecule: ribosomal RNA, 465 nt
Filed under: uncultured bacterium
Lineage: Bacteria
Description: bacterial SSU rRNA
Rfam family: Bacterial small subunit ribosomal RNA
Source: RNAcentral